RNAcentral lists this transfer RNA (76 nucleotides) under Lentisphaerota bacterium. Its description in RNAcentral is "Lentisphaerae bacterium (anaerobic digester metagenome) tRNA-Glu". It matches the Rfam family "tRNA". From Rfam's summary of the family: Transfer RNA (tRNA) molecules are approximately 80 nucleotides in length. Their secondary structure includes four short double-helical elements and three loops (D, anti-codon, and T loops). The record is from RNAcentral. RNAcentral also lists the same sequence under 2 other names. Lineage: Bacteria; Pseudomonadati; Lentisphaerota.
GACCCCAUCGUCUAGAGGCCUAGGACACCGGGUUUUCAUCCCGGCAACAGGGGUUCGAAUCCCCUUGGGGUCGCCA